GAUAAACGCUGGCGGCGUGCUUAACACAUGCAAGUCGAACGGAGUAUUCCUCCCGAGACCAAGGAAGCUUGCUUCUGAGGAAUCAUUUGGAAUACUUAGUGGCGGACGGGUGAGUAACGCGUGGGUAACCUGCCCUAUACAGGGGGAUAACAGCUGGAAACGGCUGUUAAUACCGCAUAAGCGCACAGUAUCGCAUGGUACAGUGUGAAAAACUCCGGUGGUAUAGGAUGGACCCGCGUCUGAUUAGCUAGUUGGCGGGGUAACGGCCCACCAAGGCGACGAUCAGUAGCCGGCCUGAGAGGGUGUACGGCCACAUUGGGACUGAGACACGGCCCAAACUCC
Molecule: ribosomal RNA, 342 nt
Filed under: uncultured Coprococcus sp.
Lineage: Bacteria; Bacillati; Bacillota; Clostridia; Lachnospirales; Lachnospiraceae
Description: bacterial SSU rRNA
Rfam family: Bacterial small subunit ribosomal RNA
Source: RNAcentral